Molecule: ribosomal RNA, 475 nt
Filed under: uncultured bacterium
Lineage: Bacteria
Description: partial 16S ribosomal RNA
Rfam family: Bacterial small subunit ribosomal RNA
Source: RNAcentral
GAUGAACGCUAGCGGCAGGCCUAACACAUGCAAGUCGAGGGAUAAGCCUUCGGGCUAAGACCGGCGCACGGGUGCGUAAGGGGUAUACAAUCUGCCAUUUAUCCGGGGGAUAGCCCGAAGAAAUUUGGAUUAAUACCCUUAGGUAUAAGAGCCCGGCAUCGUGCACUUAUUAAAGCUACGGCGGUAAAAGAUGAGUCUGCGUUUGAUCGGCUAGCUGGAUAGGUAACGGCUCGCCAAGGCGACGAUCGAUAGGGGUUCUGAGAGGGAGGUCCCCCACACUGGUACUGAGAUACGGACCAGACUGCUACGGGAGGCAGGAGUGAGGAAGACUGGAGGAUGGUCGGAAGACUGAUCCAGCCAUGCCGCGUGCAGGAUGACGGCGUUAGUGGUGGUAAACUGCUUGUGUAAGAGAAGAAUAAGGAGUACGUGUACUUUGAUGACGGUACCUGACGAAUAAGCACCGGCUAACUCCGUG